AACGAACGCUGGCGGCAUGCCUAAUACAUGCAAGUCGAACGAGACCCUCGGGUCUGGUGGCGCACGGGUGCGUAACGCGUGGGAACCUGCCCGUAGGGUCGGGAGAGCUCCCCGCGAGGGGUCCGAAUACCGGCUGAUUUCUUCGGACCAAAGAUUUCUCGCCUUUGGAUGGGCCCGCGUUGGAUUAGCUAGUUGGUAGGGUAAGAGCCUACCAAGGCGACGACCCAUAGCUGGUCUGAGAGGAUGAUCAGCCACACUGGGACUGAGACACGGCCCAGACUCCUACGGGAGGCAGCAGUGGGGAAUAUUGGACAAUGGGCGAAAGCCUGCUCCAGCAAUGCCGCGUGAGUGAUGAAGGCCUUAGGGUUGCAAAGCUCUUUUACCCGGGAUGAUAAUGACAGUACCGGGAGAAUAAGCCCCGGCUAACUCCGUG
This 433-nucleotide ribosomal RNA is filed under the name uncultured bacterium. Its description in RNAcentral is "partial 16S ribosomal RNA". It matches the Rfam family "Bacterial small subunit ribosomal RNA", at positions 29 to 507 of the family's 1533-position model. The record is from RNAcentral.